RNAcentral lists this ribosomal RNA (478 nucleotides) under Blastocystis sp. Its description in RNAcentral is "SSU rRNA". It matches the Rfam family "Eukaryotic small subunit ribosomal RNA", at positions 460 to 952 of the family's 1831-position model. The record is from RNAcentral. Lineage: Eukaryota; Bigyra; Opalinata; Blastocystidae.
GGAGGUAGUGACAAUAAAUCACAAUGCGGGACUUUUAGUUUUGCAAUUGGAUUGAGAACAAUGUAAAAGAGUUAUCGAUAAACAAUUGGAGGGCAAGUCUGGUGCCAGCAGCCGCGGUAAUUCCAGCUCCAAUAGCGUAUAUUAACGUUGUUGCAGUUAAAAAGCUCGUAGUUGAAGUGUGGGGUGAAAAGUUGGUUGUUUCUUUGAAAUGGCUGUCUGCUCACCCCCUCUCCAAUGUGUUAUUAUGGGUAUUAAUUUACUUGUAGUAGCUAUUGGUCAUUUACUGUGAGAAAAUUAGAGUGUUCAAAGCAGGCAUUUGCUUGAAUAUAUUAGCAUGGAAUAAUAGUAAAAGGCUUUUGUGGUCGAUUUAAUUGGUUUGUUCAUAAAAGCAAGAUUAAUAGGGACAGUUGGGGGUAUUCAUAUUCAAUAGUUAGAGGUGAAAUUCUCGGAUUUAUGGAAGAUGAACAAGUGCGAAAGC